Molecule: long non-coding RNA, 600 nt
Filed under: Sorghum bicolor (sorghum)
Lineage: Eukaryota; Viridiplantae; Streptophyta; Magnoliopsida; Poales; Poaceae
Description: long non-coding RNA (SBIC_LNC009776)
Source: RNAcentral
AUAUGCCCGUGCGUUGCAACGGAAGAAAAACAUCAAAUGAUCUUAAAAAGUGAUGACAUGAUAUUACAUAUCUAUUUAUAUUUAUCCUUUUUAUAAAAUUUAAAGUUCAUAAUUUAUUUUAUUGAUAACCAUAACAUCUAUGGUAUUAGAUAGUUAAUAUUUACAAUAAUAUGUAGCUUGAAGACAUAUUUAUUUAAUAAUAAAAAUAGAAAUUAGUUAAACCUUAUCUCACUCUAAUAUUACCUUUUAAUAUACCUCAAUAUUAUAUUAAAACAUGAGAAGUUUGAUGCUAGCAUUAUUUUUUUAUUUAGAUUAGGAUUGCUAUGAAAUAUGAAUGAAGCAUCACAUUAAAUAGGCUACCAUAAAAUUUUUAUAAUAAUUGGAGCAAGAUAACUACAAUUUUAAUUUUACACUAAAAAGCAUAGGCAAGCAUUUCCAACAAAAAAAAUGCACUAAAAUUUGUAAUAAUUUUUGUUUACUGCAUGGAUCUAUAUAUGUAGAGCUGAACAAAAUUUGUUUUAUAAUUUUUAGAUUUUUCUAUGAAUUACUACGCAUUUAUCAAUUUUUAGCCGAUUUAAAGAAUAAAAGAAAAGUAAAUUG